Molecule: ribosomal RNA, 253 nt
Filed under: uncultured bacterium
Lineage: Bacteria
Description: partial 16S ribosomal RNA
Rfam family: Bacterial small subunit ribosomal RNA
Source: RNAcentral
GACGAACCGUGCGAACGUUGUUCGGAAUCACUGGGCUUAAAGGGCGCGUAGGCGGGCAUUCAAGUCAGGGGUGAAAUCCCCCAGCUCAACUGGGGAACUGCCUUUGAUACUGGGUGCCUCGAGUAAGGUAGGGGCAUGCGGAACUGAUGGUGGAGCGGUGAAAUGUGUUGAUAUCAUCAGGAAUUCCGGUGGCGAAGGCGGCAUGCUGGACCUUCACUGACGCUGAGGCGCGAAAGCUAGGGGAGCGAACGGG